GGAGAAAAAAUAACCAGGAAAGAGAGAGAUCGCCGGGAAUAGAGGGAGUCUCCGCCCGCCGCUAGAGGAAGAGACAGCCGAUGAAGGAGAAUGACCAGGCAUCGGAGAGCAGGCUCAGAGAGCCUUCACAGAGGCGUCGAGGGAGGUUGGACAUGGCCGAUCGAUGGCUUCACAUAUCCACCAGGGAAAAAUAAAAGCCAGAGAAGGAUGGAAUCCCCUCUGCUUACCAAAAUCCGACGAACUAGAGAGAGAGAGAGAGAGAGAGAGGGGCCUCAGGCGGCGGAGAUGCGGCGGCGCCGCUUUCGAAG
This 308-nucleotide long non-coding RNA is filed under the name Spirodela polyrhiza (greater duckweed). RNAcentral's name for it is "long non-coding RNA (SPOL_LNC001017)". The record is from RNAcentral. Lineage: Eukaryota; Viridiplantae; Streptophyta; Magnoliopsida; Alismatales; Araceae.